RNAcentral lists this ribosomal RNA (1375 nucleotides) under uncultured bacterium. Its description in RNAcentral is "bacterial SSU rRNA". It matches the Rfam family "Bacterial small subunit ribosomal RNA". The record is from RNAcentral.
AGAGUUUGAUCCUGGCUCAGGACGAACGCUUGCGGCGCGCCUAACACAUGCAAGUCGAACGAGAGAUGAGGAGCUUGCUCUUCAAAUCGAGUGGCGAACGGGUGAGUAACGCGUGAGGAACCUGCCUCAAAGAGGGGGACAACAGUUGGAAACGACUGCUAAUACCGCAUAAGCCCACGGCUCGGCAUCGAGCAGAGGGAAAAGGAGCAAUCCGCUUUGAGAUGGCCUCGCGUCCGAUUAGCUAGUUGGUGAGGUAACGGCCCACCAAGGCGACGAUCGGUAGCCGGACUGAGAGGUUGAACGGCCACAUUGGGACUGAGACACGGCCCAGACUCCUACGGGAGGCAGCAGUGGGGAAUAUUGCACAAUGGGGGAAACCCUGAUGCAGCGACGCCGCGUGGAGGAAGAAGGUCUUCGGAUUGUAAACUCCUGUUGUUGAGGAAGAUAAUGACGGUACUCAACAAGGAAGUGACGGCUAACUACGUGCCAGCAGCCGCGGUAAAACGUAGGUCACAAGCGUUGUCCGGAAUUACUGGGUGUAAAGGGAGCGCAGGCGGGAGAACAAGUUGGAAGUGAAAUCCAUGGGCUCAACCCAUGAACUGCUUUCAAAACUGUUUUUCUUGAGUAGUGCAGAGGUAGGCGGAAUUCCCGGUGUAGCGGUGGAAUGCGUAGAUAUCGGGAGGAACACCAGUGGCGAAGGCGGCCUACUGGGCACCAACUGACGCUGAGGCUCGAAAGUGUGGGUAGCAAACAGGAUUAGAUACCCUGGUAGUCCACACCGUAAACGAUGAUUACUAGGUGUUGGAGGAUUGACCCCUUCAGUGCCGCAGUUAACACAAUAAGUAAUCCACCUGGGGAGUACGACCGCAAGGUUGAAACUCAAAGGAAUUGACGGGGGCCCGCACAAGCAGUGGAGUAUGUGGUUUAAUUCGACGCAACGCGAAGAACCUUACCAAGUCUUGACAUCCUGCGACGCACAUAGAAAUAUGUGUUUCCUUCGGGACGCAGAGACAGGUGGUGCAUGGUUGUCGUCAGCUCGUGUCGUGAGAUGUUGGGUUAAGUCCCGCAACGAGCGCAACCCUUAUCCUCAGUAGCCAGCAUUUAAGGUGGGCACUCUGGGGAGACUGCCAGGGAUAACCUGGAGGAAGGCGGGGAUGACGUCAAAUCAUCAUGCCCCUUAUGAUUUGGGCUACACACGUGCUACAAUGGCGUAAACAAAGGGAAGCGAACCUGCGAGGGUGGGCAAAUCCCAAAAAUAACGUCCCAGUUCGGACUGUAGUCUGCAACCCGACUACACGAAGCUGGAAUCGCUAGUAAUCGCGGAUCAGAAUGCCGCGGUGAAUACGUUCCCGGGUCUUGUACACACCGCCCGUCA